CUUCCUCUCUUAUCCUUUCACCCCACACACUGACACCCCCACAGAGGGUGAGCGGAGCCGCGGAGGCCGACUGCCACAGCUCGCCGGCGCUGAGCACCAGGCCGGCAUGCUCCGGGUCCGAGCCGAGCGUCCCCAAGCUCAGCUUCUUCUCCACCUCUACCCUGCCCGCAACGACGACGUCGCCAGGAACGGCGCGCUCCCCUCGUCCCCGGCGUCCUCUUCUUGAUCCAGUGGCGGGGUGCUGAAGCGAUUCACCGGCGGCGGGGGCGGCGGAGCUCGACCAGGAGGUGGACGAGGUCGUGCUUCUCGCAGCUAAUCUGCUCGUCGCCAGGGAUGUUGCCGUCUUCAUGCGCUACGCCGUCGGGGAGCUGUUCUCGGGGGAAGCGGAGGGAGCUAAGGGAGAUGCCACGGAGGGAGGCGGAGGUCGAUGAUGAGCCCCCGUGCUUCACCGACGGCAUGAAGCGGAGGGCAACCAAGAAGUGGACGAGGGACCAUGCGCGUCGUGCUCACCUACAGCGCCGGCGUCGAGACCGAGUCGCCGCCGGCAACGCCAACAGCCUCCACUCGCAUCAAGCCUCCUUCCUCACCACCAGGGUCGCCGGCAAGCACAAUCUGAACCACCCCUCCCGCCGUGACAUGAGGUGCCGUCACGGGAAGAGAGCCGAAGCGCCGUCUGCUCGCCCGCACUACCACGACCGUCUUCGGGGCCGCCUCUCUACUAUUGGUCCUCGCGCGCCGCGGCGAGCACCAGGCCGUCACGCUCUAGGUGAACGCAACCACCGACGAGGAUAUUACCGAAGGUAUAUCGCCAUAGUUUCCCCCUCUGCCACCACCCGACAUUCCCCACAGCGUCGGAGUAGUUCCAUCUGCUCGCCACCAUUUCUCCUUUCCCCUAUUUUCUGUCGCAAACGCAGAUCAUUCAUGUAGUUGAUACUUGCAAAGUUCGUGGCAAUUUUCAUCCCCGUCCUUGUUCAUAAACAGAAGCAAACUUAUACUAUAUAAGGCUCUAUAUGACAAAUUUCACGUGA
Triticum dicoccoides is the source of this 1028-nucleotide long non-coding RNA. RefSeq lists it as uncharacterized. The record is from RefSeq and is a predicted model, not a curated record. The transcript is spliced from 2 exons. Lineage: Eukaryota; Viridiplantae; Streptophyta; Magnoliopsida; Poales; Poaceae.